This 519-nucleotide ribosomal RNA is filed under the name uncultured eukaryote. Its description in RNAcentral is "bacterial SSU rRNA". It matches the Rfam family "Eukaryotic small subunit ribosomal RNA", at positions 1161 to 1699 of the family's 1831-position model. The record is from RNAcentral.
AGGGCACCCCCCGGAGUGGAGCCUGGCGCUUAAUUUGACUCAACACGGGAAAACUUACCUGGGCCGGAAACUGGAAGGAUUGACCGAUUGGGAGCUCUUUCUUGAUUCACUGGGCGGGGGGGCAUGGGCGUUCUUAGUUGGGGGAGCGAUUUUUCUGGGGAAUUCCGAUAACGAACGAGACUCUAGCCUACUAAAUAGAUCCGGGGCUUACAAACUCCAACGAGACUUCUUGCAUGGACAAGGGGCGAUUCGGCCGCAAGCAACAGAACAUUAACAAGUCUGUGGUGUCCUUUGAUGUCCGGUGUCGCGCGCCCCCUACACUGAACUGAUCAGCGAGCAUUCUCAGCCUACUCUGCCUCCAGUGGGAAACCCAAAGAACCCUCUUCGUGAUUGGGAUAGGAGAUUGUAAUUAUUCUCCUUGCACGAGAACUUCCCAGUCCGCGCGAGUCAUAAGCUCGCCCUUACUACGUCCCUGUCCUUUGCACACACCGCCCGUCGCUACUACCGCUUGAGAGUGAA